AGUAGGAGAACCGAUCAAGAGAAUAGAGAAGGAUGAAGGAUGGAUGGAAAUGAGGAAAAGAGGGUUUAGGGAUGAUUGUCAUGGAUUUUGCAAGUUAGAGCUUGAGAUUUGAUGGAGAGUAAGAGAGUAUAUCAAGAGAGAGAGUUUGCUCUAGGAUUUGAGAUGGAGAUCCAAGAUUUUGGAUGGAUUUGAGGUCGGUGG
Molecule: long non-coding RNA, 201 nt
Filed under: Elaeis guineensis (African oil palm)
Lineage: Eukaryota; Viridiplantae; Streptophyta; Magnoliopsida; Arecales; Arecaceae
Description: long non-coding RNA (EGUI_LNC017132)
Source: RNAcentral